AGCAGCCGCGGUAAUUCCAGCUCCAAUAGCGUAUAUUAAAGUUGCUGCAGUUAAAAAGCUCGUAGUUGAAUUUCGGGACUAAUAUGUCGGUCGUGCCUCGGUACGUACUGGCUUUGUUGGUUUCUCCCUUCUGACGAACCAUGAUGUCAUUUAUUUGGUGUCGUGGGAAAUCAGGACUGUUACUUUGAAAAAUUAGAGUGUUUAAAGCAGGCUCACGCUUGAAUAUAUUAGCAUGGAAUAAUGAAAUAGGACGUUUGAUUCUAUUUUGUUGGUUUCUAGGAUCGACGUAAUGAUUAAUAGGGAUAGUUGGGGGCAUUAGUAUUCAAUUGUCAGAGGUGAAAUUCUUGGAUUUAUUGAAGACUAACUACUGCGAAAGCACUUGCCAAGGAUGUUUUCAUUAAUCAAGAACGAAAGUUAGGAGAUCGAAGACGAUCAGAUACCGUCGUAGUCUUAACCAUAAACUAUGCCGACUAGGGAUCGGAUGAUGUUGAUUUUUUAAUGACUC
RNAcentral lists this unclassified non-coding RNA (505 nucleotides) under uncultured Glomus. RNAcentral describes it as "SSU rRNA". It matches the Rfam family "Eukaryotic small subunit ribosomal RNA", at positions 569 to 1077 of the family's 1831-position model. The record is from RNAcentral. Lineage: Eukaryota; Fungi; Glomeromycota; Glomeromycetes; Glomerales; Glomeraceae.